GAGUGGUGGUGCACACCUGUAGUCCCAGCUACUUGGGAGACUGAAGCACAAGAAUCACUUGAACCCAGCAGGCAGAGGUUGCAGUGAGUGGAGAUUGUGCCACUGCACCCCAGCCUGGGUGACAGAGUGAGAAUGUGAGUCAAAAAAAGAAAAAAGAAAAAUUCCUCAUGACCUGGGGUUAAGGUUCCUAGACAUGACACCAAAAACAUGAUCCACCAAUGGCAUGAUGGAUAAGACUUCAUCAAAAUUAAGUCUGUGCUUCAAAAGACACUAUCAACAAAGUAAAGAGAGAAUAGGAGAAAUUACAAAUCAUAUACCUGGUAAGAGACUUGUACCCAGAAUAUAUAAAGACUCUUACUACCCAAUAAGACAACUAAAAAAAUGGGUAAAUAAUUUGAAUAAAC
This 404-nucleotide long non-coding RNA is filed under the name Homo sapiens (human). RNAcentral describes it as "LHRI_LNC1115.1". Lineage: Eukaryota; Metazoa; Chordata; Mammalia; Primates; Hominidae. The record is from RNAcentral.